Molecule: long non-coding RNA, 543 nt
Organism: Puntigrus tetrazona (Sumatra barb)
Lineage: Eukaryota; Metazoa; Chordata; Actinopteri; Cypriniformes; Cyprinidae
Exons: 3
Source: RefSeq, a predicted model, not a curated record
GACGCGCGCCAUCAUUAGCGGUCUGAUAUCGCUCGACCUCCACCUGCUGCUUUCGGCGUUGGGAUGACCGGUCGAUGAUCUAAACAGGCUGUCCUGCGUGUUUGGGGAGGUGGGCGGCGUUGGACUGGAUUCAGAGAUUUGCUGGAUGGAGGCAGGGGAGGGUUGAACUGACCGCUCCGCUCAUGUGACAGUCUGAUAGCGUGCGGGAAGCAUGUGCGCUUUGCGCGUUUCGCUUGGACCGGUGACGCGGCGGCUUUGAUGAGCCGGUUCUGCUGGAAGGAGGAGGUUUCGGACUAGUCCCCAUAUAGAUAUCAGCCUUUAUUUAUUGUGAGCUGCCGCUGAAGGAGAGUUGGGGACGCUUAACGGUAUUACCAGCCGUGAAAGAUCACUGAUCGUGUGUAUCGUUGUCAGGAUUCUCAGGAUAUAAGAACGAUAAACAUCAUGUUAUGCUACAGGCGUCUUUGAUCGUUUUCCAUCAUAUUAUUAUAAGUUUUUCAUUCUGUUUGUGAGUUCGCAGCUGCAUGAUUAUGGGUGAACGCAUCU